AGUGAACGCUGGCGGUAGGCCUAACACAUGCAAGUCGAACGGCAGCACAGUAAGAGCUUGCUCUUACGGGUUGCGAGUGGCGGACGGGUGAGGAAUACAUCGGAAUCUACUUUUUCGUGGGGGAUAACGUAGGGAAACUUACGCUAAUACCUCAUACGACCUACGGGUGAAAGCAGGGGAUCUUCGGACCUUGCGCGAUUGAAUGAGCCGAUGUCGGAUUAGCUAGUUGGCGGGGUAAAGGCCCACCAAGGCGACGAUCCGUAGCUGGUCUGAGAGGCUGAUCAGCCACACUGGAACUGAGACACGGUCCAGACUCCUACGGGAGGCAGCAGUGGGGAAUAUUGGACAAUGGGCGCAAGCCUGAUCCAGCCAUACCGCGUGGGUGAAGAAGGCCUUCGGGUUGUAAAGCCCUUUUGUUGGGAAAGAAAAGCAGCAGGUUAAUACCCCGCUGUUCUGACGGUACCCAAAGAAUAAGCACCGGCUAACUUCGUG
This 492-nucleotide ribosomal RNA is filed under the name uncultured bacterium. Its description in RNAcentral is "partial 16S ribosomal RNA". It matches the Rfam family "Bacterial small subunit ribosomal RNA", at positions 29 to 507 of the family's 1533-position model. The record is from RNAcentral.